GCAGUCGAGCGAGCAGAACCAGCAGAUUUACUUCGGUAAUGACGCUGGGGACGCGAGCGGCGGAUGGGUGAGUAACACGUGGGGAACCUGCCCCAUAGUCUGGGAUACCACUUGGAAACAGGUGCUAAUACCGGAUAAGAAAGCAGAUCGCAUGAUCAGCUUAUAAAAGGCGGCGUAAGCUGUCGCUAUGGGAUGGCCCCGCGGUGCAUUAGCUAGUUGGUAAGGUAACGGCUUACCAAGGCAAUGAUGCAUAGCCGAGUUGAGAGACUGAUCGGCCACAUUGGGACUGAGACACGGCCCAAACUCCUACGGGAGGCAGCAGUAGGGAAUCUUCCACAAUGGACGCAAGUCUGAUGGAGCAACGCCGCGUGAGUGAAGAAGGUUUUCGGAUCGUAAAGCUCUGUUGUUGGUGAAGAAGGAUAGAGGUAGUAACUGGCCUUUAUUUGACGGUAAUCAACCAGAAAGUCACGGCUAACUACGUGCCAGCAGCCGCGGUAAUACGUAGGUGGCAAGCGUUGUCCGGAUUUAUUGGGCGUAAAGCGAGCGCAGGCGGAAGAAUAAGUCUGAUGUGAAAGCCCUCGGCUUAACCGAGGAACUGCAUCGGAAACUGUUUUUCUUGAGUGCAGAAGAGGAGAGUGGAAUUCCAUGUGUAGCGGUGGAAUGCGU
This 666-nucleotide ribosomal RNA is filed under the name Lactobacillus helveticus. RNAcentral describes it as "bacterial SSU rRNA". It matches the Rfam family "Bacterial small subunit ribosomal RNA", at positions 57 to 691 of the family's 1533-position model. Lineage: Bacteria; Bacillati; Bacillota; Bacilli; Lactobacillales; Lactobacillaceae. The record is from RNAcentral.